CUAGCGAGACUGCCGGUAAUAACCGGAGGAAGUGGGGAUGACGUCAAAUCAUCAUGCCCUUAUGACCUGGGCUACACACGUGCUACAAUGGUUGGUACAACGAGUUGCGAGUCGGUGACGGCGAGCUAAUCUCUUAAAGCCAAUCUCAGUUCGGAUUGUAGGCUGCAACUCGCCUACAUGAAGUCGGAAUCGCUAGUAAUCGCGGAUCAGCACGCCGCGGUGAAUACGUUCCCGGGCCUU
This 240-nucleotide ribosomal RNA is filed under the name uncultured Streptococcus sp. Its description in RNAcentral is "partial 16S ribosomal RNA". It matches the Rfam family "Bacterial small subunit ribosomal RNA", at positions 1140 to 1382 of the family's 1533-position model. The record is from RNAcentral. Lineage: Bacteria; Bacillati; Bacillota; Bacilli; Lactobacillales; Streptococcaceae.